RNAcentral lists this ribosomal RNA (432 nucleotides) under uncultured bacterium. RNAcentral's name for it is "bacterial SSU rRNA". It matches the Rfam family "Bacterial small subunit ribosomal RNA", at positions 918 to 1344 of the family's 1533-position model. The record is from RNAcentral.
GGCCCGCACAAGCGGUGGAGUAUGUGGUUUAAUUCGAAGCAACGCGCAGAACCUUACCCAGCCUUGACAUCUUCGGAAUCCCUGCGAAAUCAGGGAGUGCCUCCUUACGGAGGAAUCGAAUGACAGGUGCUGCAUGGCUGUCGUCAGCUCGUGUCGUGAGAUGUUCGGUUAAGUCCGGCAACGAGCGCAACCCCUAUCGUUAGUUGCUACCAGUUCGGCUGGGCACUCUAGCGAGACUCCCGGUGUUAAACCGGCGGAAGAUGGGGAUGACGUCAAGUCCUCAUGGCCCUUAUGGCUGGGGCUACACACGUACUACAAUGGUGACUACAGAGGGCAGCGAGACCGCAAGGUGGAGCCAAUCCCAAAAAGGUCGCCUCAGUUCGGAUUGGAGUCUGCAACUCGACUCCAUGAAGUUGGAAUCGCUAGUAAUCG